Molecule: long non-coding RNA, 253 nt
Organism: Symphalangus syndactylus (siamang)
Lineage: Eukaryota; Metazoa; Chordata; Mammalia; Primates; Hylobatidae
Source: RefSeq, a predicted model, not a curated record
UGUGCUUCAGUCGCAGAAGGGGGUGAGAAGUGGGAAGAGGGGAUUUGCAUAGAACCUCCAAUUUUCCUCGUUUCCCAGGGAGUUGAUGAUUUCAGAUCAGCUUGUCAAAAAAGACUGCCUCUUUUGUGAAACCAUUCUUCUUUUCCUGGCAUGGACCAAGGAAAGGAAAACAUCACCAGGAAAAUGUUACAUGUGGGGACAAUUAUUCUAUAGGCCCUUGGCUGGGAGUUAUGGAUAUGAACAUAAUUCAGAG